CAGAGAUGGACGUAAUGCCAGCCAGAGCCAAAGACGUAUGACUUUUUCCUGCAAGGUUAGGGGUUGGAGCCACUGUUGCCAUCUUCCUGAAGAGACACAAAUAUUUCUGUAACAUUGUUGAAGCCCUGAAUCCAGCCCUACUCCUAGACUUCUGUUUUGAUAAAAAUAACAACACUCAGAAGCAGAGACUACACAGCUGCUAAAAUGGAUAGGAGGGAAGGAAGAGGAGAUCCUGACCAAAUGCUUUACGUGUUGGCAUGCAAGAAGUUUGGAUCAACACUUGAUGUUUCCUAGCAGUUUGCCAGAGGCUUGGGAGCUCCCUGAUGAAAGAAUAAGAAGUAGCAUUUUGAGGCGGGAUGCAAACAAAGAGACCAUGCCAGACUGUACCCACAGCCUCAGAGAACAAGCCCUAUUGGUAUUCUCAGGGAGCAUUGAAGGCACACUCCAGCCAUGACCUUGCUAGGCUUCAUCACUGUACUGGGCAAAGGGCUUGGAGCUGGGAGCAGGAGAGGGUUCCAGUUCAGGCUGCUACUGACUAACUUGGAGCCUCAUGUUAC
Molecule: long non-coding RNA, 557 nt
Organism: Manis javanica (Malayan pangolin)
Lineage: Eukaryota; Metazoa; Chordata; Mammalia; Pholidota; Manidae
Source: RefSeq, a predicted model, not a curated record